UUCCUGUCUCAGGAUUGCACCUGGAGAGUUUCCAGUACUCUACCAGUCUCGGCUAUGGCAGGAAGCGUCAAGCAGAGGCAUACCCAUUCCAUUCCUAGCUUGGGCAGUGGCUAUCGAAUGGAAGGCAAUCUGCUAUAAGU
Ornithorhynchus anatinus (platypus) is the source of this 140-nucleotide non-coding RNA. Lineage: Eukaryota; Metazoa; Chordata; Mammalia; Monotremata; Ornithorhynchidae. The record is from Rfam.